GGCAAUAAGGCGAGGUCUAGCGAGGGGCGGCUAUACAUGCACGUCGAGCGCAGGAAGCUGACGGAACUCUUCGGAGGGAAGGCAGUGGAAUGAGCGGCGGACGGGUGAGUAACACGUAAGGAACCUGCCUCAAGGAUUGGGAUAACUCCGAGAAAUCGGAGCUAAUACCGGAUAGUUCAACGGACCGCAUGGUCCGCUGAUGAAAGGCGCUUCGGCGUCACCUUGAGAUGGCCUUGCGGUGCAUUACCUAGUUGGUGGGGUAACGGCCCACCAAGGCGACGAUGCAUAGCCGACCUGAGAGGGUGAUCGGCCACACUGGGACUGAGACACGGCCCAGACUCCUACGGGAGGCAGCAAUAGGGAAUCUUCCACAAUGGACGAAAGUCUGAUGGAGCAACGCCGCGUGAGUGAUGAAGGUUUUCGGAUCGUAAAACUCUGUUGUAAGGAAAGAACACCUACGACAGGAAAUGCUCGUACCUUGACGGUACCUUACGAGAAAGCCACGGCUAACUACGUGCCAGCAGCCGCGGUAAUACGUAGGUGGCAAGCGUUGUCCGGAAUUAUUGGGCGUAAAGCGCGCGCAGGCGGCCUUUUAAGUCUGAUGUGAAAGCCCCCGGCUCAACCGGGGAGGGCCAUUGGAAACUGGAAGGCUUGAGUACAGAAGAGAAGAGUGGAAUUCCACGUGUAGCGGUGAAAUGCGUAGAGAUGUGGAGGAACACCAGUGGCGAAGGCGACUCUUUGGUCUGUAACUGACGCUGAGGCGCGAAAGCGUGGGGAGCAAACAGGAUUAGAUACCCUGGUAGUCCACGCCGUAAACGAUGAGUGCUACGUGUUGGGGGGUUUCCGCCCCUCAGUGCUGAAGCUAACGCAUUAAGCACUCCGCCUGGGGAGUACGGCGCAAGGCUGAAACUCAAAGGAAUUGACGGGACCCGCACAAGCGUGAGCAUGUGGUUUAAUUCGAAGCACGCGAGAACUUACAACUCUUGACAUCCCAUUGACGCUUGAGAGAUCAGGUUUUCCUUCGGGGACAUGUGGACAGUGUGCAUGUUGUCGUCACUCUGUGUCUGGAUGUGGUAGUCCCCGCACGAGCCAACCUAUCUUAAUGCCGAAUCCGUGGGACUCUCGGAGACUGCGGUACAGAGAGGGAUAGCUUCAAUCAUUGCUUUAAGUGGGCAA
RNAcentral lists this ribosomal RNA (1176 nucleotides) under Exiguobacterium acetylicum. RNAcentral's name for it is "bacterial SSU rRNA". It matches the Rfam family "Bacterial small subunit ribosomal RNA", at positions 1 to 1216 of the family's 1533-position model. The record is from RNAcentral. Lineage: Bacteria; Bacillati; Bacillota; Bacilli; Caryophanales.